RNAcentral lists this ribosomal RNA (510 nucleotides) under uncultured bacterium. Its description in RNAcentral is "bacterial SSU rRNA". It matches the Rfam family "Bacterial small subunit ribosomal RNA", at positions 25 to 518 of the family's 1533-position model. The record is from RNAcentral.
CAGAUUGAACGCUGGCGGCGUGCUAACACAUGCAAGUCGAACGCGAACGGGGCUUCGGCCCCAAGUAGAGUGGCGCACGGGUGAGUAACGCGUGGACAAUCUGCCCUUAUGACUGGAAUAACAGUGGAAACGGCUGCUAAUACCGGAUACGCUCAGGAAGAACUUUUUGAGGAAAGGCGGCCUCUGCUUGCAAGCUGUCGCAUAAGGAUGAGUCCGCGUCCCAUUAGCUAGUUGGCGGGGUAACGGCCCACCAAGGCAACGAUGGGUAGCCGAUUUGAGAGGAUGAUCGGCCACACUGGGACUGAAACACGGCCCAGACUCCUACGGGAGGCAGCAGUGGGGAAUAUUGCGCAAUGGGCGAAAGCCUGACGCAGCGACGCCGCGUGAGGGAUGAAGGUUUUUCCGGAUCGUAAACCUCUGUCAGAAGGGAAGAAACUGCCGUGCUCUAAUCAUCAUGGCAUUGACGGUACCUUCAAAGGAAGCACCGGCUAACUCCGUGCCAGCAGCCGC